RNAcentral lists this transfer RNA (72 nucleotides) under bacterium. RNAcentral's name for it is "tRNA-Gly". It matches the Rfam family "tRNA". Rfam says of the family: Transfer RNA (tRNA) molecules are approximately 80 nucleotides in length. Their secondary structure includes four short double-helical elements and three loops (D, anti-codon, and T loops). The record is from RNAcentral.
GCGGGUAUAGUAUAGUGGCUAUUAUGCUGCCUUGCCAAGGCAGAGAUAGGAGUUCGACUCUCCUUACCCGCA